Molecule: long non-coding RNA, 824 nt
Filed under: Brassica rapa (field mustard)
Lineage: Eukaryota; Viridiplantae; Streptophyta; Magnoliopsida; Brassicales; Brassicaceae
Description: long non-coding RNA (BRAP_LNC005203)
Source: RNAcentral
GUUUCUCUUCUUUAAUGUGUUAAUCGUACUAUAUAUAAUAUUAUUUUAAAAUUUCAAAAAAUUUAUGUCACUAUCACAUACAAAAAACCAUCAAUAAAAAAUAUAAUUCUCCAUCUACAACAAAAAAAUGAAAAAUUAUUAACAUAUAAAUUUAAAUUAAGAAAAACUAACAUUGAAAAAACAAGAAGUUAAUAUAAAAGAAAAAAAUUAACAAAUAAUAUUAUAAAUAAAAUAAAUUUAUAAGACAUAAUCCGCGCGAAGCGCGGAAAAAAUCUCUAGUAAUAAAUAAAAUAAAAUGAUUAGGAUUGAGAUGGAAUGGUUGUGUACCUCGUGUGCGUGGCUGCAUUCUCUCGUGGCACACCACCAUCUUAAUAAUCGCUAUUCUAAUAGACUAGUAGUCUAGUAUACAUCAUCUAAAAGCUUUUUUUAGCUAUUACUAUUAGGCUAUUAGUAUUACUAUUAGCAAUGAAGAGAAAUGUAUUACUAUUUUUUUGAGAAAAGAAGAAAAAAAGAAAAGAGAAAUGACAGGUGAUAGUGGGUGUCGGCGAUACCACGGACCUAUCUGUUAGAAGUCUCCGACAAGUGAACCGUUGGUUAAUGGGACAUUCACACUCCUUUCCGUAUUACACAUUUACACCCAUGUCACAAAUAAUUAAUAAAAUUAUCGAACACACAACAUCGGCUCAUGCCUAUGUUGUUUUUUUUUCACAUGGGUAAUAUGUUCACCCUAAACUUCACAGAAAUCCAACAUACCAUCAAUGCCUCAAAAAAGAAAAACAUAACAGUUUCUCACUAUGACAGUUGCCAAUGCCAACUCUUUUUUU